RNAcentral lists this ribosomal RNA (253 nucleotides) under uncultured bacterium. RNAcentral describes it as "partial 16S ribosomal RNA". It matches the Rfam family "Bacterial small subunit ribosomal RNA", at positions 524 to 776 of the family's 1533-position model. The record is from RNAcentral.
UACGGGGGGGGCAAGCGUUGUUCGGAAUUACUGGGCGUAAAGGGCGCGUAGGCGGUUCGCUAAGUUGAACGUGAAAACUCUGGGCUUAACCCAGAGCCUGCAUUCAAUACUGGCGGGCUAGAGUUCUGGAGGGGAUAGCGGAAUUCCUGGUGUAGCGGUGAAAUGCGUAGAUAUCUGGAGGAACACCGGUGGCGAAGGCGGCUAUCUGGACAGAGUCUGACGCUGAGGCGCGAAAGCUAGGGGAGCAAACAGG